This 467-nucleotide ribosomal RNA is filed under the name uncultured bacterium. RNAcentral describes it as "partial 16S ribosomal RNA". It matches the Rfam family "Bacterial small subunit ribosomal RNA", at positions 29 to 507 of the family's 1533-position model. The record is from RNAcentral.
ACGAACGCUGGCGGCGUGCUUAACACCUGCAAGUCGAACGGAAAGGCCCUGCUUUUGUGGGGUGCUCGAGUGGCGAACGGGUGAGUAACACGUGAGUAACCUGCCCUUGACUUUGGGAUAACUUCAGGAAACUGGGGCUAAUACCGGAUAGGAGCUCCUGCUGCAUGGUGGGGGUUGGAAAGUUUCGGCGGUUGGGGAUGGACUCGCGGCUUAUCAGCUUGUUGGUGGGGUAGUGGCUUACCGAGGCUUUGACGGGUAGCCGGCCUGAGAGGGUGACCGGCCACAUUGGGACUGAGAUACGGCCCAGACUCCUACGGGAGGCAGCAGUGGGGAAUAUUGCACAAUGGGCGGAAGCCUGAUGCAGCAACGCCGCGUGCGGGAUGACGGCCUUCGGGUUGUAAACCGCUUUCGCCUGUGACGAAGCGUGAGUGACGGUAAUGGGUAAAGAAGCACCGGCUAACUACGUG